CAUCAGCUUCCCAAGCUGAAUACGGGGGUUCGAUUCCCCUCACCCGCUCCA
Molecule: transfer RNA, 51 nt
Filed under: Clostridiales bacterium
Lineage: Bacteria; Bacillati; Bacillota; Clostridia; Eubacteriales
Description: tRNA-Ser
Rfam family: tRNA
About the family: Transfer RNA (tRNA) molecules are approximately 80 nucleotides in length. Their secondary structure includes four short double-helical elements and three loops (D, anti-codon, and T loops).
Source: RNAcentral